RNAcentral lists this ribosomal RNA (433 nucleotides) under uncultured bacterium. RNAcentral's name for it is "partial 16S ribosomal RNA". It matches the Rfam family "Bacterial small subunit ribosomal RNA", at positions 29 to 507 of the family's 1533-position model. The record is from RNAcentral.
AAUGAACGCUUGCGGCAGGCCUAACACAUGCAAGUCGAGCGAGCAUUUCGGUGCUAGCGGCGGACGGGUGAGUAACGCGUGGGAACGUGCCCUUUUCUGCGGAAUAGUCCUGGGAAACUGGGGGUAAUACCGCAUACGCCCUUUUGGGGAAAGAUUUAUCGGAGAAGGAUCGGCCCGCGUUGGAUUAGGUAGUUGGUGGGGUAAUGGCCCACCAAGCCGACGAUCCAUAGCUGGUUUGAGAGGAUGAUCAGCCACACUGGGACUGAGACACGGCCCAGACUCCUACGGGAGGCAGCAGUGGGGAAUCUUAGACAAUGGGGGCAACCCUGAUCUGGCCAUGCCGCGUGAGUGAUGAAGGCCUUAGGGUUGUAAAGCUCUUUCAGCUGGGAAGAUAAUGACGGUACCAGCAGAAGAAGCCCCGGCUAACUCCGUG